AUACGGAGGAUCCGAGCGUUAUCCGGAUUUAUUGGGUUUAAAGGGUGCGCAGGCGGCCAUUUAAGUCAGCGGUUAAAUCGUGGGGCUCAGCCCCAUUCUGCCGUUGAUACUGGGUGGCUUGAUUGCGGUCGAGGUUGGCGGAAUUCGUUGUGUAGCGGUGAAAUGCAUAGAUAUGACGAAGAACACCGAUUGCGUAGGCAGCUGACCAGACCGCAAAUGACGCUCAUGCACGAAAGUGCGGGGAUCGAACAGGAUUAGAUACCCUGGUAGUCCGCACAGUAAACGAUGAAUACUUGUUUUCGGCGAUAUAAUGUCGGAGGCAAAGCGAAAGCGAUAAGUAUUCCACCUGGGGAGUACGCCGGCAACGGUGAAACUCAAAUGAAUUGGCGGGG
RNAcentral lists this ribosomal RNA (392 nucleotides) under uncultured bacterium. Its description in RNAcentral is "partial 16S ribosomal RNA". It matches the Rfam family "Bacterial small subunit ribosomal RNA", at positions 523 to 918 of the family's 1533-position model. The record is from RNAcentral.